CGGGGUGUGGCUCAGACCGGUAGAGUGCGCGGUUCGGGUCCGCGAGGUCGGAGGUUCAAAUCCUCUCACCCCGA
Molecule: transfer RNA, 74 nt
Filed under: Anaerolineales bacterium
Lineage: Bacteria; Bacillati; Chloroflexota; Anaerolineae; Anaerolineales
Description: tRNA-Pro
Rfam family: tRNA
About the family: Transfer RNA (tRNA) molecules are approximately 80 nucleotides in length.
Source: RNAcentral